RNAcentral lists this ribosomal RNA (492 nucleotides) under uncultured bacterium. Its description in RNAcentral is "partial 16S ribosomal RNA". It matches the Rfam family "Bacterial small subunit ribosomal RNA", at positions 29 to 507 of the family's 1533-position model. The record is from RNAcentral.
AGUGAACGCUGGCGGUAGGCCUAACACAUGCAAGUCGAACGGCAGCACAGUAAGAGCUUGCUCUUACGGGUGGCGAGUGGCGGACGGGUGAGGAAUACAUCGGAAUCUACUUUUUCGUGGGGGAUAACGUAGGGAAACUUACGCCAAUACCGCAUACGACCUACGGGUGAAAGCAGGGGAUCUUCGGACCUUGCGCGAUUGAAUGAGCCGAUGUCGGAUUAGCUAGUUGGCGGGGUAAAGGCCCACCAAGGCGACGAUCCGUAGCUGGUCUGAGAGGAUGAUCAGCCACACUGGAACUGAAACACGGUCCAGACUCCUACGGGAGGCAGCAGUGGGGAAUAUUGGACAAUGGGCGCAAGCCUGAUCCAGCCAUACCGCGUGGGUGAAGAAGGCCUUAGGGUUGUAAAGCACUUUUGUUGGGGAAGAAAAGCAGCAAGUUAAUACCCCGCUGUUCUGACGGUACCCAAAGAAUAAGCACCGGCUAACUUCGUG